This 86-nucleotide transfer RNA is filed under the name Salinivirga cyanobacteriivorans. Its description in RNAcentral is "tRNA-Leu". It matches the Rfam family "tRNA". Rfam says of the family: Transfer RNA (tRNA) molecules are approximately 80 nucleotides in length. Their secondary structure includes four short double-helical elements and three loops (D, anti-codon, and T loops). RNAcentral also lists the same sequence under 2 other names. The record is from RNAcentral. Lineage: Bacteria; Pseudomonadati; Bacteroidota; Bacteroidia; Bacteroidales; Salinivirgaceae.
GCCCGGAUGGCGGAAUUGGUAGACGCGCUGGUCUCAAAAACCAGUGGGCUUUGCCCUUGCCGGUUCGACCCCGGCUCCGGGUACCA